ACAAAGGCUCUUUUAAGAGCCAAUACAUAAACAAUAACAGCGCUG
Eurypyga helias (sunbittern) is the source of this 45-nucleotide non-coding RNA. NCBI's taxonomy places the organism in Eukaryota, Metazoa, Chordata, Aves, Eurypygiformes, Eurypygidae. The record is from Rfam.